RNAcentral lists this long non-coding RNA (1144 nucleotides) under Anser brachyrhynchus (Pink-footed goose). Its description in RNAcentral is "lncRNA (ENSABRG00000012844.1)". The record is from RNAcentral. Lineage: Eukaryota; Metazoa; Chordata; Aves; Anseriformes; Anatidae.
UGCCUCCUCGGGGCCCUGAUGACCGUUCUGGUGCUGUCCUUUGUGAUAUGCGGUGAGUUGACACCCAUGGGUGUCCUUUUUGGGGGUGCUGGGGACUGGGGACACCCCCGUUUGGGCUCAGUGUCCCUCUCCCCCAGUGUCUUGGCUGCUGGUGGAGAGGCAACGGCUCCCGGGGGCCGUGGGGUGCGGGAACGCGUCGCGGGGACAAAGCUUUGCCACCCUGGACUGCACCCACCUGGGGCUGAGGACGAGCCUGUGCCCCCCCGGAGGUAACCCCCCUAAAAUAUCGCAUCCCCCAUGUCUGAACCCGGCUAUCACCCACCCCGUGGCGCUGUGGCGGGGCCGUACGCGUGGCCGUCUGUCCGUCUGUCCGUCUGUCUGCAGACGGUGGGGGCUGCAAGCUCUGUCCCGUGGGGUGGACGCUGCACAGGAGCAAGUGUUUUUGGGUCGCCAGCAAGAGCAGCUCCUGGAGGGAGAGCCGGGAGAACUGCAGCCGUCAGAGCGCCCAGCUGCUGGUGCCAGAGGACCAGGGCGAGCUGGACUUCCUAAAUCGAGUCGUACAGAAACCCACGCGCUACUUCUGGAUCGGCCUCUCCCGGCCCUCCGUGGGGACGGGUUGGACCUGGCUGGAUGGCUCCCGCCUGGACCAGAGCCGGUUCAACCUGAGCACCCUGAACGCCAGCGGAGCCUGCGGGGUGCUGAGGGAGGACAGGAUCAUCUCCGAAACCUGCGGCUCUGCCUUGGCGUGGAUCUGCCAGAAAGAGGCCGUCCUGCUCUGAGCGGGGCAGAAAUUGGGCGGCCACUUGGGAAAAAAAAAAGAACAAAAAAGAAUCCACUUUGCUUUCAAAAUAAAGUCUCACCCCUGUGGGCUUCGUGUUCUCUGCUAGGGCUGCUGUAAUUUCAGCGUGCAGGGGGUAUUUUGGAAGGGAUGGCUGGUGUGAAGAGGGGGAAAUGAGGUUCUGGGAUUUUGGGGAGGCAGGUGAAAAGGCAGCUUUUUUCUUUUUUUCUUUUUUUUUUCUUUUUUUUCCCAGAAAUGCUAUGAAAACGUCGGCUUGUGCAACCCCGACCUUGUGAGCUCCAGAGGAGCUGGAGCUCAUCCCACCUGCAGAAUAAAUGCCUUUUUUUCUUUCUGUAGCCCUUGGCC